Molecule: long non-coding RNA, 2901 nt
Organism: Anas platyrhynchos (mallard)
Lineage: Eukaryota; Metazoa; Chordata; Aves; Anseriformes; Anatidae
Source: RefSeq, a predicted model, not a curated record
CUGGAAACAGCUGCGAAAACAUAUUUUUUUUUUCUUGUUUUACUCAGAAGAACAGUCACAACCCUUUCUUUCUGACUUAAGCCUGGAAAAGUAGCUGUAAUGGCACAAGGGGAACAGCAGAAACGGAGAUUUUUCAGACUCGACUGGGACUGCACAUCAGAUGCCAAGCCACCGAGAGUGGAGGGGAAGAGAGGGAUGUGCUCAAUGGCUUUUUAUUUUAUUUUUUUGGUAGGGAAAUUCUCACCUGGACUGCAGAAGGCAUGAAAUGGACUACACAGUGCUCUAGCAUACAGAUCCAAUCUCCUGUGAAGUGGGUUCUAUCUCAACAACUGAGGGCGUCGGUGGACAUUGUCUGUCAUUUCCCGUUCCAUUCCAUAUCACUCACCAUCUCCAUGUGGAUCCAGAUGAAACUGAUGUGCUGCUCCUGACUCCUUUGAAUCCAAAAAUCCUUCUUUGCUCCAUUUCUGAGAGUUUGAUUUUUUCUCCUUUAACAUCAUACUGAGUCUUUACAGCUCCAUAAACCCAACUUUACUACUCCAUAACUAUCCCAAGUUCAAAUCCAAUUCCAAAUUCAGCCCAAGGGAAAAAGCCACUCACUCCCAAAAACGUGUUCCUAUCCUUCAAAAUUUUUUCCAUUUAUAUUUCAAAUUAGGAUACUAGAUUUUUGAGAGCUGGUGCAGAAGCAACAUGCUGUUUCUUGGAUUUCAGACGGACUUGACUCCUUGCCUGAAGAACACAUUAGAUUCCUGUUUUCUGAGAGAAAUAGAAAUGAAAAGUUAUGCAUGGUGAUGAAAUUAUAAGUAUCUGAGACAGUUGCAGGAGAUACAAACUUGGGUUGAAAGUCUGUUGGAGUCAGGGAAAGCUAUCGCUUACUGCAUUGGCCUUUGGAGCCUCCUGUGGUUCAAAAAAUGUUGGAUUUCUACUGGCUAUCUUAAAGUUAAAUUUUUAGUCUGUUUCUGAUCCUGCUAAGGACAUUUAACCUUUACUGCUUAGGGCAGUAGUGACAAACAGUCAGCGCUGCUCAGGAUCAGGCUGUUGUGCAAGUGUUUUCAAGCGCAAGACAAACAAUUGUUAAUUAUAGUUUUUCAUACUGGCAGACUUCUCUGAAGUCCAGGGCACACACUCAUGAAUUAAUCCUCCUACUCCUGGUAAAAAGGCAAACCCUAGCAUUCUCACUUCUCAGAUGAAACAACUGAGGUAGAGAAGUUAAAUGACAUGAAUGACAUGAUCAAACCACAGAUGCAAGCAAGUGUUAGAGUCAAUAUGAAAGGCCUGCUCUCUGCAUGGCAAUAAACCAGAUGUCUUUCAGCGUGGCGCCUCUCAGUCAGUCCCUACUAACUACAUGCUUCAGUCCCACUGCAGGUAGUUACUUACCUGCAUGAAGUUAACCAAGGCACAUGAGUGCUUUAUAAAACUGGAACCCAAAUACCCCAGAUCCAUACUCACAUUUUCAGACAUUGGUCAAACACAAUGCUGAGGCAAGAGCUCCAGCACAUUUACCACAACCAUAGCUCCACGAAAUUGUCAGACAGCACAACUGUCUCAGGAGCCCACCUUGCUCAAGUGAGCCCUCAAGGGGCCUCCGUUUCCCUGUGUUGCCUGAGUCUGAGCUGUUGGAACUGGAUGGAAAAAGAAGAGAACGAUCUACUGCAGCACUCAGGUUUGUUUCUACUCCCUCCCUGCUUGAGUAAGCAAUGCCUUUCAAUCAGUGAGCCCAAAUAAAUAAACCCAACUCACAACUCGGAUUUGAGUUUGAAGGGAUUUGCUGAGCUGGAUGAGAGCUCUUUAUGUCUUUGAGUAGGUCAGUAUUUGCUGAUGAGCUAGCAGCCCCCUUGGAACCAAUAAAAGACUGGUUUCCUAUAUGUAAAAUAAAAAGGUUCACUUUUUCCGAAGAACUCCUCAUGCAGCAGUUUUUUAGACACACCUAUGAAAUGCAGCCAUAUUUACACUGGAGGAUAGCAACAGCCAAGAGAACAAUAGAAAACCCUUCUCCUUCUCAUAAUGGGAAAGUGAUUAUUGCCAAAAUAACUUGCUUAAAUGAUGGACUAGCUUAAUUAAUAGCUUUGAUCUCAAACAAAUGAAAGCAAAUACAGCAGGCUUAUGAUAAUCCAAAAUAUCCAUAUCAUAUGGUGGCAUGGCAGCAAUCCUUCUACCUGCAGGAAAUGCAGGGAAUCUGUUUUUGAAAUGCAACAUGAACAUUUCAACAGGCAGUCUUUGUACAGAAGCUGUGGGCCUCAAGCUAUACAGCAGAACUUGAUACAGCCAGAGGAUUUGCAGGUACCUCACCAAGGAUGUCUUCUGCAUAUAAAAUAUUCAAAGACAUUAAAAGAAGAAUUGUGCUAUGUGCAGUAGGGUCACCUGGCAAAAAGAGACACCCAAAGAUCCUUUCUUUUUUACAUUUGGAAAGCCAUGUUUUAAAUUAAUAAAGGCUGGAAGUUUUCUGGGAUCCAAGGGAUAUUUUACAAGAAUAGGGAAUACUUGGCAUAGACUCCAAAAGUCCCCUUUGGCCAAUGUGUGUUCAUGGAGAUCUGGUAGAGGACACUGGUGGAAGUGAACAGACUGACGUCUUCUGUCCUAACAGCCAGUGCAAGCAUGAGUUUUCCUAUAUGUCAGACCCUGUAAAAGGUGUGGGUGAUGGUAAUAUGGUAACAUACAUACCACACAACCUGUUGCUUAUGACUAAUGCAUCUGUAGCCACCAAGAUCUUCUCUAAAGUUGACAAGACAAUCCACUGGUCAAAAACUCCCUGCAUGGAGUGGAAUCAUUCCCAGGAGAUGGGACCAUGUAAUUCAAAUGAUUUUGCUGUGACUGGCUGAACAAAUAUGGGGAAAACUCACAAUCUUGGGAUGGAUUGGAGAAUGAAAGCCACCCUGAAGAGCAACACAGUGGAAUGCUUUCAAA